AUUGAACGCUGGCGGCAUGCCUUACACAUGCAAGUCGAACGGCAGCGCGGGGCAACCUGGCGGCGAGUGGCGAACGGGUGAGUAAUAUAUCGGAACAUACCCUAGAGUGGGGGAUAACGUAGCGAAAGUUACGCUAAUACCGCAUACGCACUAAGGUGGAAAGCGGGGGAUCGCAAGACCUCGUGCUCAUGGAGUGGCCGAUAUCUGAUUAGCUAGUUGGUAGGGUAAAAGCCUACCAAGGCGACGAUCAGUAGCUGGUUUGAGAGAACGACCAGCCACACUGGAACUGAGACACGGUCCAGACUCCUACGGGAGGCAGCAGUGGGGAAUUUUGGACAAUGGGGGCAACCCUGAUCCAGCAAUGCCGCGUGAGUGAAGAAGGCCCUCGGGUUGUAAAGCUCUUUUGUCAGGGAAGAAACGGUGUUUCCUAAUACGGAAUGCUAAUGACGGUACCUGAAGAAUAAGCACCGGCUAACUACGUGCCAGCCGCCGCCGUAACAC
RNAcentral lists this ribosomal RNA (501 nucleotides) under uncultured bacterium. RNAcentral describes it as "bacterial SSU rRNA". It matches the Rfam family "Bacterial small subunit ribosomal RNA", at positions 30 to 526 of the family's 1533-position model. The record is from RNAcentral.